Molecule: ribosomal RNA, 396 nt
Filed under: uncultured bacterium
Lineage: Bacteria
Description: bacterial SSU rRNA
Rfam family: Bacterial small subunit ribosomal RNA
Source: RNAcentral
GAUGAACGCUGGCGGCGUGCUUAACACAUGCAAGUCGAACGAUGCACUUUAUUUGAUUUCCUUCGGGACUGAAGAUUUUGUGACUGAGUGGCGGACGGGUGAGUAACGCGUGGGUAACCUGCCUCAUACAGGGGGAUAACAGUUGGAAACGACUGCUAAUACCGCAUAAGCGCACAGUACCGCAUAGUAUAGUGUGAAAAACUCCGGUGGUAUGAGAUGGACCCGCGUCUGAUUAGCUAGUUGGUGGGGUAACGGCCUACCAAGGCGACGAUCAGUAGCCGACCUGAGAGGGUGACCGGCCACAUUGGGACUGAGACACGGCCCAAACUCCUACGGGAGCAGCAGUGGGGAAUAUUGCACAAUGGGCGAAAGCCUGAUGCAGCGACGCCGCGUUGA